AUGGCCAAGCAAGUAUAUGAGUGCAAUUGGGUUCCUUCUCGCGUCACAGAGGAUCAACUGGACGAUUUAGUCCUGAUUGACGCUUUAGGCAGCAAAGAUACCAUCCAUUGGAGGGCUCCUGGCAAAGAAUGCCCUCCCACACCUCGAGAAGGAGAGGUUGUUGUUUUCGUAGAUCACUUAGCCUGGGGCUUUAAGCCGUCCGGUUCUAAAUUUUACCGGGAUGUUUUAGCCGAUUUCCAACUCCAUCCGCAAGACACUGGCCCCAACUCUGUUACAAAUAUGUGCCACUUCCAAGUGCUCUGUGAGGUGUUCUUUCAAGAGGAGCCCACAGUGGAAUUGUUCAGAGACCUUUUCCAUCUAAACGGUCAUACUGAGUUUACUGAUGGCUCUAAUUCGGAGUUGGGUGGCAUGGCGAUUCAGAAAAGGAAAGAGGUCACAUACCCUCACGCCAAGCUGCACAGUCACCCCAAGGAGUGGAAUCAGACAUGGUUCUAUUGCAAAGACACCUCCCUUGCUGGUGAGAAUCCCUUGCCUGGCUUUCGUUCGGAGCGGCUGAGCAAUACACACCCUUUUCCUCAAAGAUUGACUGCCCAGGAGAGAAGCAAAUAUGCUCCCCAGUUGUCAAAGCUCAGAGCCUUUAUGGCCAACGGUUUAACAGGGGUUGAUCUCGCUCGCUGUUGGAUAUCAUGGAGCAUACCGCCCCUUAGUCAGCGCUCCGGUUUGAUGUGCGAGUAUACUGACAGUGUUGAUGACCCACUGCGACAUUCAAAACUCCUGCUCUUCGAUGAAGAAAUCACAGAGGCUGUGCAUAAGAUACUGAAUGAACCGGAACACGUCUGCGCUAGAACCGGCCUGCUUCUCUUCUGUGCCACCAACAAACCGCCAGCUGUAAGACUUUGA
RNAcentral lists this ribosomal RNA (900 nucleotides) under Triticum aestivum (bread wheat). RNAcentral describes it as "partial small subunit ribosomal RNA". The record is from RNAcentral. Lineage: Eukaryota; Viridiplantae; Streptophyta; Magnoliopsida; Poales; Poaceae.